AUUGAACGCUGGCGGCAUGCUUUACACAUGCAAGUCGAACGGUAACAGGCCUUCGGGUGCUGACGAGUGGCGAACGGGUGAGUAAUGCAUCGGAACGUACCCAGAGGUGGGGGAUAACGCAGCGAAAGCUGUGCUAAUACUGCAUGUGAUCUGAGGAUGAAAGCGGGGGACCGAGCAGCAAUGUUUGGCCUCUCGCCUUUGGAGCGGCCGAUGUCGGAUUAGCUAGUUGGUGGGGUAAAGGCCUACCAAGGCGACGAUCCGUAGCUGGUCUGAGAGGACGACCAGCCACACUGGGACUGAGACACGGCCCAGACUCCUACGGGAGGCAGCAGUGGGGAAUUUUGGACAAUGGGCGAAAGCCUGAUCCAGCAAUGCCGCGUGAGGGAAGAAGGCGUUAGGGUUGUAAACCGCUUUUGGCAGGAACGAAACGGUGUCCGCUAAUACCGGGCGAUAAUGACGGUACCUGCAGAAUAAGCACCGGCUAACUACGUG
RNAcentral lists this ribosomal RNA (492 nucleotides) under uncultured bacterium. Its description in RNAcentral is "partial 16S ribosomal RNA". It matches the Rfam family "Bacterial small subunit ribosomal RNA", at positions 30 to 507 of the family's 1533-position model. The record is from RNAcentral.